Molecule: ribosomal RNA, 1200 nt
Filed under: Pseudomonas sp. a185
Lineage: Bacteria; Pseudomonadati; Pseudomonadota; Gammaproteobacteria; Pseudomonadales; Pseudomonadaceae
Description: partial 16S ribosomal RNA
Rfam family: Bacterial small subunit ribosomal RNA
Source: RNAcentral
GGGCUCUCCUAACGCCUAGCACAUGCAAGUCGAGCGGUAGAGAGAAGCUUGCUUCUCUUGAGAGCGGCGGACGGGUGAGUAAUGCCUAGGAAUCUGCCUGGUAGUGGGGGAUAACGUUCGGAAACGGACGCUAAUACCGCAUACGUCCUACGGGAGAAAGCAGGGGACCUUCGGGCCUUGCGCUAUCAGAUGAGCCUAGGUCGGAUUAGCUAGUUGGUGAGGUAAUGGCUCACCAAGGCGACGAUCCGUAACUGGUCUGAGAGGAUGAUCAGUCACACUGGAACUGAGACACGGUCCAGACUCCUACGGGAGGCAGCAGUGGGGAAUAUUGGACAAUGGGCGAAAGCCUGAUCCAGCCAUGCCGCGUGUGUGAAGAAGGUCUUCGGAUUGUAAAGCACUUUAAGUUGGGAGGAAGGGCAGUUACCUAAUACGUGAUUGUUUUGACGUUACCGACAGAAUAAGCACCGGCUAACUCUGUGCCAGCAGCCGCGGUAAUACAGAGGGUGCAAGCGUUAAUCGGAAUUACUGGGCGUAAAGCGCGCGUAUGUGGUUAGUUAAGUUGGAUGUGAAAUCCCCGGGCUCAACCUGGGAACUGCGUUCAAAACUGACUGACUAAAGUAUGGUAGAGGGUGGUGGAGUUUCCUGUGUAGGGGCUGAAAUGCGUAUAUAUACGAAGGAACACCAGUGGCGAAGGCGGGCACCUGGACUGAUACUGACCCUCAGGUGCGAAAACAUGGGGGAGCAAACAAGAGUAGAUACCCCGCUAGUCCACGCCGUAUAAAUAUAAACUAAACCCUUUGGGAGGCGUGAGCUGAUAUUGGCGGCGCCCCACACAAUAAAUUUAACUCCCCCGGGAGUACAGCCCCCCCCCCUGAAGACUCACAUGAGUUUAAUGGGGGCGGGCGCCAACCAGUGGAGCAUGUGGUUUUUUUUCUAAACAACAACAAAAAACAAUACCCCGCCCUGGGUUCAACAACCUUUUAGAAAAAAAUAGAUGGCGUGGGUGCACAUAGGAAAAAGAGAUACCGGGCCGUCUUCAACAUAUUUUGUUCGUUGUUUGGAUAAGUUGGGGUUAACUAACACAAAACCAACUUCUUCCUUUACACAGCAUUUAGUCGUUUCUCUCCACUCAACAUCCGAGGCAAACAACCCCGCACGAAAGUCAGGGAAGGAAGGAUGGAGGGAUCAAGUGUUCCUUAU